RNAcentral lists this long non-coding RNA (1157 nucleotides) under Prunus persica (peach). RNAcentral describes it as "long non-coding RNA (PPER_LNC005373)". The record is from RNAcentral. Lineage: Eukaryota; Viridiplantae; Streptophyta; Magnoliopsida; Rosales; Rosaceae.
GUUAUCUAAAAUUUCAUUUUGUAUUAAUCUGAAACUCUUCAUUUCCUUCUCUUUAUUUCAACAGAUUUUUGAUGCCUCUCUUUUUUCCACCAAAUUUAAGUUUUGGUGCGAGUUAUUCCCUUCCAAAAGCCCUCGUAUACUCUCUGCGACCCUAACCCCAAAUCCAAAGGCUCUCAUAUCUUCUUAGACUCUCCUCUCUCUCUCUCUCUCUCUCUCUCUCUCUCUCUCUCUCUCUCUCUCUCUCUCUCUCUCUCCACUUUGGUUUUUCUCUUUGAUUAAACGAUUAUUUAGCCAACAAGGGUUUCAGUGAGAGAUUUGGGGCCCUUCCUAUUUCAAAUGCCCACAUCUGUUCUUUGGGAUGAAAGUUUAUGAAGUUGAACUCAUUUUUGUUUUUCUGGUUUGGUUUAGGUCACUGCUACACGAGUUUAUAAUUAUCAUAUUGUAUGUCAUACGUCCUUUAUAGAACACUGUUACUAAUCAUAGUAUAUGCUCUGUAGAUCAAAUGCUUUCCAGAAAAAGAAGAAGAAGUUUCACAUGUAGAGGAGAAUGUCACAUUUCAUGGCUCUGAUGGAUUUUUUUAUUCAUUUCCACUUCCAGGUAUAUUGUUCUUUCUUCAGAUUGGUUGUGUUUUAUUAGUUCUGGUAGCAUGCAAGGGAGGCCAAAGAGGAAAUCGUUUUGUUGAACUCAACUUAUUGAGGUGGGUAGUUUUACUAAUGUGUUAUCCCUUGUCUUUUUUUGUUCUUAUUAUUAUGUUCUUCUUUGAUUCAUUUGAAGUCCUGUUUUGUGUUGAGUGAUAUAGAGUAUGAUUUCUUCAUUCACUUAGAAAAUGACCAACUGCAUGCCACUGUUAAUAGAGAAAGAAUGAUGGUGAUUGGUAAUUUGCAUUGAUUUGUUUUUUUUUUUUGUUUUUUGUAUUUGUUUGGACAUUAUUAUAUUCUAUGCAUGCACACUGUCUUUUUGGAUCUCACUGAGAUAAUUUCUUUUGAUUCCUUAUUGUACAGGACAAGCUGAUGUUGUAGUCUACUUGGAACUUAACCUGUAGUUUUUGUAUGCCUUAUGUUUUUUUUCCUUAUAUAUAUAUGUAUUUAAAUUAUAGUGCAGAUCCUUAUUAUAAAAACUGUGUUGUAUACACUUUCAUUUUUUAUACUGGCUUUCAU